Molecule: non-coding RNA, 95 nt
Organism: Podarcis lilfordi (Lilford's wall lizard)
Lineage: Eukaryota; Metazoa; Chordata; Lepidosauria; Squamata; Lacertidae
Source: the annotation of a GenBank genome assembly
CCUCAGAUGUUGUUGGAUUCCAACUCCCAUCAUUUUUGGAUAUUGUCUGUUCUGCCUAGGGUUGGUGGGGGUUGGAGUGCAACAACAUCUUAAGG